UACACCUCUGUAAUCAGCACGUAGAAUAUGAAACAGAACACUACUAGCACUCCCAAAGCUUCUUUUGGGCUCUCUUUUAUUCAUCAGCACAUCAAGGGUAACCAUUAUAGAGUUGUGCUUCUGUUUGAACUUGACUUUGUUUAUCCUUAUUACAGUGCAGAAACUGCAAGAUGAACCCCAAAGAUCUCCAUCUCCAGCCAUUCACACUCCUAUAUAAUCUCUGGCCCUUGGGUGUGGAAAGGACUUGUGACUUGCUUUAACCAACAACAGAAUACAGCAAAGAUGCCUAAGAACUGCAAUUGAGAAAUAAUUUUCUCACCUGGUCACAGCAUCUACCAAGAAUGGUGCUGGGGGAGAGAUCAGUGAGAUUCCAUCUUUAUUACCAUGUCCCUCCUUCCCUGCCAAAAGCAUUUCACAUCCCGCAAGUCCAUUAGACACGGCACCGCUCUGCUGUGGGAGAUACACACACAUCUAAAUACAGAGGUAACAAUACCGGCCUGGUCAGCACUUCAGCUCCAAAUCAAGCUUCACUAAUGAAUAUGAGAGAAUAAAAGAAGAAUGCCAGUUUUUAUCUCUUCUAUUCAACACUGUAUUGCAAGUUCUAGCCAAAGCAAUCAGAGAAAGCAGAGAGACUAAGUUGCAGAGAGGAGGAGGGAUGAAGAAAGAAGAAUCUUGACAACUAGAAUCAUGGCAUCUCAAAGUUGGAAGGAACAACAGUCCAUCCAACCACCGAAAUAUUUCAAGAGGUGGGUAAUUUUUAGUCUUAGCCUAAGAAACAUCACACACUGGAG
Non-coding RNA from Chlorocebus sabaeus (green monkey), 791 nucleotides. Lineage: Eukaryota; Metazoa; Chordata; Mammalia; Primates; Cercopithecidae. The record is from RefSeq and is a predicted model, not a curated record.